This 912-nucleotide ribosomal RNA is filed under the name Triticum aestivum (bread wheat). Its description in RNAcentral is "partial small subunit ribosomal RNA". Lineage: Eukaryota; Viridiplantae; Streptophyta; Magnoliopsida; Poales; Poaceae. The record is from RNAcentral.
AUGUCCAGAAUUGUUUCGCUUCACGGUAUUCCACUGGUUAUCAGUUCGGACCGUGGCAGUUUAUUCACUUCAAGAUUCUGGGCAAGUUUCCAAGAAGCUAUGGGAACUCAUCUGUCAUUCAGUACUGCGUUUCAUCCGCAGUCGCAAGGGCAAGUUGAACGUGUCAACCAAAUUCUCGAAGACAUGCUUCGAGCUUGUGUUAUUUCCUUCGGCAAGAAAUGGGAGGAAUCUCUCCCGUAUGCUGAGUUCUCUUAUAAUAAUAGCUAUCAAGCUAGUCUGAAGAUGGCCCCCUUCGAAGUGUUAUAUGGACGAAAGUGCCGAACCCCUCUGAACUGGUCAGAAACUGGGGAACGUCCACUCUUCGGUCCGGAUAUUAUCCAACAUGCCGAAGAACAAGUCCGCAUUAUUCGUGAGAAUCUCAAGACUGCUCAGUCACGUCAGAAGAGUCAGUAUGACCGUCAUCAUAAAGACAUGGUCUAUCAACCUGGCGAAAAGGCCUAUCUUCGCGUUACACCAAUGAAGGGUGCUCACCGCUUCGGGAUCAAGGGCAAGCUAGCUCCUCGCUAUAUUGGCCCAUUCACUAUUUUGGAAAGGCGUGGAAAAGUGGCAUAUCAACUGGAGCUUCCGUCGAACCUUUCUCAGGUUCACGAUGUGUUCCACGUGUCACAACUCCGACCCUGCUUCAAGGACCCAAUCCGAGCAGUGGACCAUGAAGUGCUCGAAUUGCAACAGGACCUCUCCUAUAAAGAGCAUCCGGUCCGCAUUCUCGACCAAGCUGAACGCCGCACACGUCAGAAGGCGAUCAAGUUCCUCAAGGUCCAGUGGUCGAAUCACUCUGAAGACGAAGCCACCUGGGAACGCGAGGAUCGUCUUCGUGAUGAAUACCCCGCACUGUUUCCUUCUACCUCCUAA